This is a long non-coding RNA of Ictalurus punctatus (channel catfish), 745 nucleotides long. Lineage: Eukaryota; Metazoa; Chordata; Actinopteri; Siluriformes; Ictaluridae. The record is from Ensembl.
AGUAGUUGCGUCCUGAAGGAGUUAGCUUCAUGUCUAGAAGACAUUGUUUUCUGUGCUGCAAAAGCAAAACCACUUUGCAUGGACUCCCAAAAGGAUGAGGAUGUAAAGCGUCAGUGGUUAGAAUUCAUUUUAAAGUGAUACCACAGCAGUUCAACUCCGACCUUUGUUUGUGUUCACGUGAUAAUUCAGACAGGAUAUGGUAUCUCAAAGUCUAGCUGAAGUCACCGUGGGAUUUGCGAAACGAUUACUCAUUCAAGAUGGGGUCGUACCCACUUUAUUUGGACCAUCUUGUGCCUCUGGAUCACAAACUAGCCUAUCCCAGGGAUCUCAGGACAGAAGGUGGCGGACAACCUACCAAACCAUCACAAGGCACAAUCGCACACUACUGACAAUUCUGAAGGGCCAAUCAGCCUGCAAUGCACGUGUUUGGCCUGAGGGAGGAAACCGGAGUACCCGGAGGAAACCCCCAAAGCACGAGGAGAACAUUCAAGCUCUGCGCACACAGGGUGGAGACGGGAUUCGAGCCUCCAACCCCAGAGACACUCACACACCAAUGGUAGCAGGAGCUGCCAUGCAAGGUGCUAGCUUACCAUCGGGAGCAACUUGGGGUACAGUGUCUUACCCAAGGACACUUCGACAUGUGGAAUCACCCAGGCUGGGAAUCGAUCCGCCAACCCUAUGAUUAGUGGACAACCCACUACCAACUGAGCCACAGCCGCCCCACCAACUGAGCCACAGCCGCCCC